RNAcentral lists this ribosomal RNA (253 nucleotides) under uncultured bacterium. RNAcentral describes it as "partial 16S ribosomal RNA". It matches the Rfam family "Bacterial small subunit ribosomal RNA", at positions 524 to 776 of the family's 1533-position model. The record is from RNAcentral.
UACAGGGGGUGCAAACGUUGCUCGGAAUCAUUGGGCGUAAAGCGCACGUAGGCGGUUCGUUAUGUCGGAUGUGAAAGCCCUUGGCUUAACCGAGGAAGUGCAUCCGAAACUGGCGAGCUAGAGUACGAAAGAGGAUCGCGGAAUUCCCGGUGUAGAGGUGAAAUGCGCAGAUAUCAGGAGGAACACGGGUGGCGAAGGCGGAUCUCUGGGCCUUGCCUGACGCUGAGGCGCGAAAGCUAGGGGAGCGAACAGG